UACGGAAGGCAGCAGUGGGGAAUAUUGCACAAUGGGCGCAAGCCUGAUGCAGCCAUGCCGCGUGUAUGAAAAAGGCCUUCGGGUUGUAAAGUACUUUCAGUCGUGAGGAAGGUGUUAAGGUUAAUAACCUUAGCAAUUGACGUUAGCGACAGAAGAAGCACCGGCUAACUCCGUGCCAGCAGCCGCGGUAAUACGGAGGGUGCGAGCGUUAAUCGGAAUUACUGGGCGUAAAGGGCACGCAGGCGGUUAAUUAAGUUGGAUGUGAAAUCCCCCGGGCUUAACCUGGGAAUGGCAUUCAAGACUGGUUAGCUAGAGUCUUGUAGAGGGGGUAGAAUUCCAUGUGUAGCGGUGAAAUGCGUAGAGAUGUGGAGGAAUACCGGUGGCGAAGGCGGCCCCUGGACAAAGACUGACGCUCAUGUGCGAAAGCGUGGGAGCAAACAGGGAUUAGAUACC
This 453-nucleotide ribosomal RNA is filed under the name uncultured bacterium. RNAcentral describes it as "bacterial SSU rRNA". It matches the Rfam family "Bacterial small subunit ribosomal RNA", at positions 340 to 786 of the family's 1533-position model. The record is from RNAcentral.